This is a long non-coding RNA of Tympanuchus pallidicinctus (lesser prairie-chicken), 574 nucleotides long. RefSeq lists it as uncharacterized. Lineage: Eukaryota; Metazoa; Chordata; Aves; Galliformes; Phasianidae. The record is from RefSeq and is a predicted model, not a curated record. The transcript is spliced from 3 exons.
ACUCUACUAGCCAGUGAGUUGAAUAACAGGUCUAAAAGAUUAAAGGUCACAAGGUAUGGGAUUAGUCUAAUCCAAACCUGAUGUUUACAAGACACAUGUAUGGUGUUUACCCAUCACCAUCAGUUUUUCUUUCAGCCAGCAAAAAGAAGUGAGAAAUUCUACAGUGUGAGUCAAGGAGCUUUUUGUGAAGUCAGAGAGGUAUUAUCCUGGGAGGACUGCCAAGACAGGACAACCUGGUCAGACAUAGAUGUCUAUACUGCAGCUUUCUCAGACUCCAAGAGAUGAACCACAGCUGCAGGGUCCUCACUCAGAAGUGAAUUCACUCCAUAUUGCUAAAAUGAGCUCAACAGAACCAGGCUUGACAUUCCUAUUUGGCAUGCCCUCUAGCAGCAAAAUCCUUUCUCUGCUGUUUGACAUUCACCUUUUUUUGAUGUCAAGGGCUGAGACAGCCCUUCAUACUUCCCUGUCUGACGCACACACCAUCCCUUGAUUCUGCAUUCCCAACUUGCAGAUUUCUUUACUUAGAGUCCAAUUCUUCUGUGGUAGUCUUUCCUAUGAGCAGGUGAGUUCUUUC